AUGCUGAACAAGUCUUGUUUGGAGAUCAACCCCAACAACUUCAUCGACAUGCAGCGCAAGUGGAAAGUUCCAACCACCAACAAAUACUGCGACUCCUUGGCCGAUGUUGCAGGCAGCAUCAUCCACCCAUUCUAUAAAGGCAUGAAGAAGAAGAUGGAGAAGAAGGAAGACCACAAACUAUGGGGGAACAACCCAUUGCCAGACAACCUCAUCGAGUACGCAGGAAUAGAUGCAUACGCCACGUGCAAGUCAUGGAAGACAAUCGACAACAUCGUGACAGGUUGGGAUAUUUCAAAAGAGCAGGAGGCUGACCCCUACUACCACUGCAACUUCGCGGGAUGA
RNAcentral lists this ribosomal RNA (342 nucleotides) under Triticum aestivum (bread wheat). RNAcentral describes it as "partial small subunit ribosomal RNA". The record is from RNAcentral. Lineage: Eukaryota; Viridiplantae; Streptophyta; Magnoliopsida; Poales; Poaceae.